AGGACGAACGCUGGCGGCGUGCUUAACACAUGCAAGUCGAGCGGAAAGGCCUUUCGGGGGUACUCGAGCGGCGAACGGGUGAGUAACACGUGAGUAAUCUGCCCAUCGCUUCAGGAUAGCCAUCGGAAACGGUGAUUAAUACUGGAUAUGACAUUCCUUCGCAUGUUGGGGUGUGGAAAGUUUUUUCGGCGGUGGAUGUGCUCGCGGCCUAUCAGCUUGUUGGUGGGGUAAUGGCCUACCAAGGCGACGACGGGUAGCCGACCUGAGAGGGUGACCGGCCACACUGGGACUGAGACACGGCCCAGACUCCUACGGGAGGCAGCAGUGGGGAAUAUUGCACAAUGGGCGAAAGCCUGAUGCAGCGACGCCGCGUGAGGAUGACGGCCUUCGGGUUGUAAACCGUCUUUCAGCAGGACGAAGCGCAAGUGACGUACCUGCAGAAGAAGCACCGGCUAACCAGUCGCCAGCACGCCGC
This 475-nucleotide ribosomal RNA is filed under the name uncultured soil bacterium. Its description in RNAcentral is "bacterial SSU rRNA". It matches the Rfam family "Bacterial small subunit ribosomal RNA", at positions 26 to 518 of the family's 1533-position model. The record is from RNAcentral.